This 253-nucleotide ribosomal RNA is filed under the name uncultured bacterium. RNAcentral describes it as "partial 16S ribosomal RNA". It matches the Rfam family "Bacterial small subunit ribosomal RNA", at positions 524 to 776 of the family's 1533-position model. The record is from RNAcentral.
UACGGGGGGAGCAAGCGUUGUUCGGAUUUACUGGGCGUAAAGGGCGCGUAGGCGGCGCAACAAGUCACUUGUGAAAUCUCCGGGCUUAACCCGGAGCGGCCAAGUGAUACUGUCGUGCUAGAGUGCGGAAGGGGCUACUGGAAUUCUCGGUGUAGCGGCGAAAUGCGUAGAUAUCGAGAGGAACACCUGCGGCGAAGGCGGGUAGCUGGGCCGACACUGACGCUGAGGCGCGAAAGCCAGGGGAGCGAACGGG